RNAcentral lists this long non-coding RNA (3560 nucleotides) under Brassica napus (rape). RNAcentral's name for it is "long non-coding RNA (BNAP_LNC018633)". Lineage: Eukaryota; Viridiplantae; Streptophyta; Magnoliopsida; Brassicales; Brassicaceae. The record is from RNAcentral.
AGACUGUUUCUUUACUUUGAAAGCAUGGAUAGCUCAACAAGCUGGAGCAGCAGCGAUUCUUGUAGCUGACAACAAAGCUGAGCCAUUGAUCACUAUGGAUACACCUGAAGAGGAUAAGUCAGAUGCGGAUUAUCUUCAAAACAUUACCAUUCCUUCAGCUCUCAUCACCAAGUCUUUGGGAGACAGUAUAAAGUCUGCUCUCUCCGGUGGUAAUAAGUUUACAUUUUUGUUUUCUUUAAUUAAAAUAUGUUAAACUGGUACAGUAGGUUAAUUAACCUAAUAAACCGAUAAACUUAAAUAAAAUUGAAUCAAUAUAUAUAUAUAUAUAUAUUUAUACCAAAUAUGAUAUAUAAGUUGAUGUAUAAAUCUAUUUGUAAUUAUAUUUAUUUUAUUUUUCACUAUUGUGAUAUAUAGUUUUAAUAUCAAGCACCCGCCAACGUGCAGAAAAUUCAGAUCUUCUAAUUUUCAGUAAAGUAUGAAAAAUAUUAAGGUAAUCAACAAUGUUUUAGUUCCAGUGAUGAUGAUAACAAAUAUAGUCUUAUUGUCUGUAAUGUGAUUUGGUUAACUUUUCUCAAUUUUUUAUAAGUUCAUUACGAAGUGAAGAAGAAGACAGAGAGAGAUAAUAAAACAACCAAUAGACGCCAAUCCAUUGGAAAUAGUGCUUUCUAGGAGAUCCCAACCCAAGUUAUAAGAAAAUCAUCACCAAACCGGAGCUCUCGAGGCUCAAAACCAUCAUGUAAAAUUUCAAACACUAACAUUACUUUUAGGAGAGGGAGAAGAACAACAAAGGAUAACCAGGCUGCACUAUUUUCUUUUCCAAUUUAUCUAAUAUUAAGAGAAAAAAAAAAUUCACAAGACCCAAGUUUUAGUGUUGAAUAAUAGUAAGGUGAAUUGUUUGCUAAUGUUUCUUACAAUCAAACAGGAGAUAAUGAGAGGAGCAAGUGGGUGACAGGUCGUACCACCCUGCUGCCAUCUCACCAAGCAGGGUUGGAAUCCUACAAAUGCCUUUAAUAAGAAGAAUUACUAGGCCAUUGUGCCACAGAUGAUAAAAAAAAAUUAAGUUGAAGAUAACUGAUGAGUAUUACGAUUCUGAAUAAAACAUCUAUCAUUUUUUUUUUUUUGAAAAACAGAUGAAUUUUGUCGGCCAAUUAUGUAUUGGCAGUAUCCCCAUAUUCAAUAAUUCAACUUUCCAAAUUUGACUUACAAAUAAGAAAUUUGUGAAUUUAUGACACGAGUGAAUUGGAUAUGAACAGGAAGAAAUAAUAUUUUACCAUUGAAUUCUGAUCAAUUAAGAUUAUUUAUUUUUAAGAUUUUUUUAUAAUUUAAAUUAGUAUUUAAAUAUCUAGAUGAAAGAAAUUAUAAGUUAUUAUUAAGCUACAGAAAUGGUAUAUCAGUAUCUUAAAAAUGUUGCUUCAAGAAGUUGUAGUAGGAAAUAGUUUUCAUAAUUUAUGUCUCAUGUUACAAUAUAAAAAACUUGCCCUAACAAUAAAUAAAAUUAAAUAGCCAACUAAUCAUGGCAACUACAGCAAAUGUAGUUGGACACAUUCUCAUGAUGUUAGAAACUAACCACUACAAUCCAAAAAUAGAAACAAACUCAUAGUUGGACUGCUUUUAAAUAUGUACAUACGAAUUAAAAUAUUUACAUUGUAAAACAUACAUUCUAACUCAUUUUAAACUAUAUUAUUAAUCAAUGAUGGGGAGUUGCAAAACAUAAGUAAUUGAAAAUAUAAAUUUGUUGUGGUGACAAGAAAUUAUCUCCAAAAUAUUCAAGGUAAUAACAAAUAUAAAUUUAAAGGCUUAUAAUACAUACUGAUUAAUAAAUUUUAUUUAAAAAGAAAUUAUUAUUUAGCUAAGAAGAUUAUCAUCAAGAAAACAUAACUAAGAGCAAUUUUAGUGCGACAUAUUCGAAGCUUUCUAUGUAUUCUAAACUCAAUUUUAGUAUUUUGGCAAACAAAUAAAAAAAAUAUUACAAAAAUGAGAGAAAAAAUGUUAUAUGCAACAAAAAUCAGAGCAUGUCUCUCCUAAAAUACUAUAUUCUACACACUAGAUAGUUUAUGAACACAAAAACAUUGUACAAUAUUUGAUAUUAACAUAACAAAAUCAUUAAUAUAAUUUAAAUAGUAAUUAUUCGCGCGUAGCGCGGAAAACGACCUAGUAAACAUAAAUUUACGGAGACGACAAAGAAGAACAAUUCCAUUAAAAUUCCUUUUUCAAUUUAGUUAACUCAUAAGAUUCAUGUAUCUAUUAUCUCUAAUCGUAAUAAGUCGUAACAAUAGAAAUUAUAAUAACAAUAGAUAAACCUUCCUUCUCUUCCUUAACUCAUAAGCCUCUCUAUCUCUCUCCUCCUGAAUCAAACAAACACUGUUCACUUACUUGACCAAUCAAUAAAGCAUCCUCCUCCAUUUCACGAGAUCUUCGUUCUCAAUCUUCUCUGCAAUCUAGGGUUUCAGAUCUCAAUCUCUACCUCGAAUCCGUUCCCCAAUCAUGAGUCGGGAGAAGCUAAGGUUCUUCACCCUCUCGUUUCUUCUGAUCCUGAGUCCAGCGCUCUGUAGAUUCGUCGUGGAGAAGAACAACCUCAAAGUCACAUCACCCGACUCCAUCAAAGGCAUUUACGAGUGUGCCAUUGGGAACUUCGGAGUUCCUCAGUACGGUGGUACUUUAGUCGGCACCGUUGCCUAUCCCAAAUCGAAUCAGAAAGCUUGUAAAAGCUACAACGAUUUCGACAUCUCCUUCAAAUCUAAGCCUGGGGGCUUACCCACUUUUGUCCUCAUCGAUCGUGGAGGUUCCAUCUUACCCUUUGCUCAAUUAGGUUCAUAGUAUGUGGGAAUGAUUUAGUUUUUGGUUUUAGUAUGUGAAAAAGAUUCAGUUUUUGGUUAUAGUAUGUGGAAAAGAUUCAAUUUUUGAUUAUGGUGUGAGGAAGAUAUAUCAUUGUUUGGUUAUAAUAUGUGGAAAAGAUUCAGUUUUUGGUUAUAGUAUUUUGGAAAGGUUCAGUUUUUGGGUUUAGUAUGUGGAAAAGACUCAGUUUUUGGUUAUAGUAUGCGGAAAAUAUUCAAUUUUAGUAAUAGUAUAUGAAAAAAAAUCAAUUUUGGUUAUAGUAUGUGGAAAAAAUUCGUUUUUUGAUUAUAAUAUGUGGAAAAAGUUCAAUUUUUUGGUUAUAUUUUUCUGGAAAGAUUCAAACUCUGGUUAUAGUAUUUUGAAUAAUAUUCAGUUUUUGGUUAUGUUUUCUGGAAAAGAUUCAAUUUUUGGUUAUAGUUUGUGGAAAAGAUUUGUAUUUUGGAACUGAAUGUGAGUUUGUUUUUGUGAACACAGACUGUUUCUUUACUUUGAAAGCAUGGAUAGCUCAACAAGCUGGAGCAGCAGCGAUUCUUGUAGCUGACAACAAAGCUGAGCCAUUGAUCACUAUGGAUACACCUGAAGAGGAUAAGUCAGAUGCGGAUUAUCUUCAAAACAUUACCAUUCCUUCAGCUCUCAUCACCAAGUCUUUGGGAGACAGUAUAAAGUCUGCUCUCUCCGGUGGCGACAUGGUGAACAUGAAGCUGGACUGGACUGAGUCUGUUCCU